Long non-coding RNA from Eucalyptus grandis, 723 nucleotides. RefSeq lists it as uncharacterized. The transcript has 2 exons. NCBI's taxonomy places the organism in Eukaryota, Viridiplantae, Streptophyta, Magnoliopsida, Myrtales, Myrtaceae. The record is from RefSeq and is a predicted model, not a curated record.
CAAUAGCCUAGUUCAAAUCCACAUCCAUGAUGAUUUGGUGUGCUUGGAGGUCAUAUUUUUAUAUGACUGCAAUUCCAUUAGAAGUCUUCUCUGUCAAAGAUCAUGGGUUUUGAAGAAAUUAGUGGCUGUUGAGUGCGACAAUCUGGUUGAAAUUCAAGGUCUUGAUGGUGCAAAGUUCUUAGAAGAGUUGGAUUUUACAGGAUGCAAAUCAAUGGAGACUUUGCCAGAUUUGACGGGAUGUGAGAAGUUACGAUCUCUAAGAGUUCGAGACUGCAAGAAACUUACUCAACUUCAGGGACUUAAAAAGUUGAAUUUAAUUGAUUUGGAUAUUUCUGGUUGUGACUCAUUGGAAGCAAUACCGAAAUUAUCUGGAUCAAACGUCUUUAGAAAUUAUGAACAAGAGUUGUCUUUUGACUCAUGGAGUGAUGCUUCCUGAACAGAGGGUUUUGUACUUUCCUAAAUUGCUAGUCUUACAUAAUUGAAGGAGUGGGGGAGUUGGCCGUAGAAGCUGACAUGAUGCUUUAGCCAAGAUCAAGAUGCAGACCCUAAUGUCAAUAGAAGGCAUGGAGGUUGAUGAAUUUCUGCUACUCAUUAUUGUAUACUAUGCCCAGAAUUUCCCAGUGUCCAAUGUUUAUAUUUUCUUUGAAAAAAUCUAUGGCCAUUUUGAGUUACUUUGUAAGUUCUAUUGUAUGUCAAAUUUGAUAGAUAUCCUGUUUGGGACAA